Molecule: ribosomal RNA, 492 nt
Filed under: uncultured bacterium
Lineage: Bacteria
Description: partial 16S ribosomal RNA
Rfam family: Bacterial small subunit ribosomal RNA
Source: RNAcentral
AGUGAACGCUGGCGGUAGGCCUAACACAUGCAAGUCGAACGGCAGCACAGUAAGAGCUUGCUCUUACGGGUGGCGAGUGGCGGACGGGUGAGGAAUACAUCGGAAUCUACUUUUUCGUGGGGGUUAACGUAGGGGAACUUACGCUAAUACCGCAUAUGACCUACGGGUGAAAGCAGGGGAUCUUCGCACCUUGCGCGAUUGAAUGCGCCGAUGUCGGAUUAGCUAGUUGGCGGGGUAAAGGCCCACCAAGGCGACGAUCCGUAGCUGGUCUGAGAGGAUGAUAGGCGACACUGGAAGUGAGACAGGGUCAAGAGUCCUAAGGGAGGCAGCAGUGGGGAAUAGUGGACAACGGGCGGAAGCAUGAUCCAGCCAGACCGCGUGGGUGAAGAAGGCGUUCGGGUUGGAAAGACGGUUUGUUGGGAAAGAAAAGCAGCAGGUUGAGACCACGCGGGUCUGACGGUAAUGAAAAAAUAAGCACCGGCUAACUACGUG